CUUUCACUCCAUCAUCUCCUAAUGUCCUCAGAUCGCAGAUUCAAUUUAGGGCUCUGCGUACUUCGACUUCUCCAUUGAAGCGGCUUCUGAGCUAUACGCCUAUACUCCUUCAUCUCCUCCAUUGAAGCGUACUUCGACUUCUCCAUUGAAGCGGCUCUGAGCUUUCACUCCUUCAUCUCCUACAUUGAAGCGGCUCUGAGCUUUCACUCCUUCAUCUCCUCCAUUGAAGCGUACUUCGGCUCUCCAUUGAAGCGGCUUUUGAGCUUUCACUGUUGAGGAGUGUAUGGAAUCUGGAAGUAGUGGGGAUAUGGAAGACUCAUCGGCUACAAGUCAAGCUCCUCCAAUUCCAAGUCCUCCUCCCGAGCCUUGGGAGUAUGACCCUUGUCCAAUGACGGAAAAUAAUGACCCCUUUGACCAGCAAAAUCAAUCAAACCAACCUCUGAACCUGCUGAUGAUGCUGCCCCCUUAAGUGAAACUUCAAAAAAAUCUAGAAAAAGGCGCUCUCCUCAUUGGGAGCAUUUUAUAAAGAAUGAUGGAGAAAACAAGGAUGAAUGUAUCUAUUGUCAUACAUUCAUUGGUUGUGCAUCACUUCAAGGUACCUCCGGCAUGAAGAACCACAUAAAGCGGUGUAAGGAAUACCCCCCAAACAUUGAUCAAAAUCAGCAACUAUUGUCCCUUAGUCAACAAACUCUUGAUGGGAAUCUCGUGGAU
Chenopodium quinoa (quinoa) is the source of this 711-nucleotide long non-coding RNA. RefSeq lists it as uncharacterized. The record is from RefSeq and is a predicted model, not a curated record. NCBI's taxonomy places the organism in Eukaryota, Viridiplantae, Streptophyta, Magnoliopsida, Caryophyllales, Amaranthaceae. The transcript has 3 exons.